Molecule: non-coding RNA, 757 nt
Organism: Arvicanthis niloticus (Nile rat)
Lineage: Eukaryota; Metazoa; Chordata; Mammalia; Rodentia; Muridae
Source: RefSeq, a predicted model, not a curated record
GUGUGCCCCGGGGUGCAGAAGCAGACUGCAGGGCAGUGGGACCAGCCUGGGCCACGCCAAAACAGCUCACAAUGGGCUUCCAAGGGAGUAAUUGGCAGAAGAGAGAACUGAAGCAGCAUGGAAAGCAAGGUGUGGUGGCUUACAUCUGCAAGUGUAGCACUCAGGAGGCAGCGUCUGGAACAUCAGCACAAAUUCAAGGCUAUCGCAGUGAGUUCGAUGCCAGAACACCAGGAACACAAGUUUUCUUAUCUGAAAAUGAGUGGGUCGAUGCUCUACCAAUCUCGAACAUCUUUCUGUUUUGAAUGCUUGCAAAAGCAUCAGCCAGUCAGCAUUUUGAUGGAUUCAGAGAUGGGGAAAGAAGGAACAGGGGUAAUCCUCAAAGGACUGAAGCCAAGCUUCCAUCUGAGAAGCAGCCAAGCAGCUUCUGAAGCAGCCCUGUGACUCACGGGAUGGAGCCACGGCCACGUGCUGUGAAAAUCAGCUAUCCAGCUCCAAGCAGAGGCUCAGCCCAGGCUGGAAGGCACUUCCAAGGAAUUCAGAUCUUCUGCCAACAGGAUCACUUGAGUCAUCUUUCAACAUCACAUUCCAACCCCAGUGUUCAUGCUGAGUCCUCGGGUGUUCAUGGGGAAACUGGCCUGGCUUUGGCUGUCUGCAGAUUCAUAAGCAUCAGAAUGUUACCCAGACUUCCAGAAAAUGUUAGCUACUUCUCACCUACCAGCAACUGCUUUUCAGGUUCUUUUAAAAACUAUUCCCAGUA